UCAUUUGGGUAAAUACCCAGGAGUAUGAUUGCUGAGUUAUAUGGUAUGCACAUGUUUAACUUUAUAAGAAACU
Lynx canadensis (Canada lynx) is the source of this 73-nucleotide long non-coding RNA. RefSeq lists it as uncharacterized. The transcript is spliced from 3 exons. Lineage: Eukaryota; Metazoa; Chordata; Mammalia; Carnivora; Felidae. The record is from RefSeq and is a predicted model, not a curated record.